UACGGGGGGAGCAAGCGUUGUUCGGAUUUACUGGGCGUAAAGGGCGCGUAGGCGGCCAGUGCAAGUCAGUUGUGAAAUCUCCGAGCUUAACUCGGAAAGGUCAACUGAUACUGCUCGGCUAGAGUGCGGAAGGGGCAACUAGAAUUCUUGGUGUAGCGGUGAAAUGCGUAGAUAUCAAGAGGAACACCUGCGGCGAAGGCGGCUCACUGGUCCGGUACUGACGCUGAGGUGCGAAAGCGUGGGGAGCAAACAGG
Molecule: ribosomal RNA, 254 nt
Filed under: uncultured bacterium
Lineage: Bacteria
Description: partial 16S ribosomal RNA
Rfam family: Bacterial small subunit ribosomal RNA
Source: RNAcentral